This 492-nucleotide ribosomal RNA is filed under the name uncultured bacterium. RNAcentral's name for it is "partial 16S ribosomal RNA". It matches the Rfam family "Bacterial small subunit ribosomal RNA", at positions 29 to 507 of the family's 1533-position model. The record is from RNAcentral.
AGUGAACGCUGGCGGUAGGCCUAACACAUGCAAGUCGAACGGCAGCACAGUAAGAGCUUGCUCUUACGGGUGGCGAGUGGCGGACGGGUGAGGAAUACAUCGGAAUCUACUUUUUCGUGGGGGAUAACGUAGGGAAACUUACGCUAAUACCGCAUACGACCUACGGGUGAAAGAAGGGGAUCUUCGGGCCUUGCGCGAUUGAAUGAGCCGAUGUCGGAUUAGCUAGUUGGCGGGGUAAAGGCCCACCAAGGCGACGAUCCGUAGCUGGUCUGAGAGGAUGAUCGGCCACACUGGAACUGAGACACGGUCCAGACUCCUACGGGAGGCAGCAGUGGGGAAUCUUAGACAAUAGGCGCAAACCUGAUCCAGCCAUACCGCGUAGGUGAAUAAGGCCUUCGGGUUGUAAAGCCCUUUUGUUGGGAAAGAAAAGCAGCAGGUUAAUACCCCGCUGUUCUGACGGUACCCAAAGAAUAAGCACCGGCUAACUUCGUG